Molecule: long non-coding RNA, 908 nt
Organism: Prunus dulcis (almond)
Lineage: Eukaryota; Viridiplantae; Streptophyta; Magnoliopsida; Rosales; Rosaceae
Exons: 2
Source: RefSeq, a predicted model, not a curated record
UUCCUUAAAAAUGUUUAUCAAUUAUGUUGUUUGAUAAUUAAAAAAAAAAUGAGUUUUCUAACCCUAAACCCUCUAAUAUCUGAGUAUAUUGUUGAAUCUUUUGGGUGUUUUGUUGAGAUUCAUUUUAGGGUAGAGCUUUUUGUAAUUUAACGAUAACUAUAGAAAUAUUACGGAGUACCAUUGUUUUAUUCUAUUUUGAGCUUAUAAGAGCUGCAUAUUUGACUUUUGGAAUGGGAAUUGAUUUGAAGAACAAAUUUUUUUCAGUUUCAAACCUUAUAAUCCUGUUUCUAUGUUUCCUGUUUGUAUUAUCUGUUACUGCUCCUUUAUCAUGUUUUAUGGAAUAUAUACAUCUACCUUGAUUUCCUCUUCCACCUUGAUGCAAAAUCGAGGUGACAGGGUGUUAAAAGGUUCUUAAGGGAAAGGCCAUCCAUGGUUGAAGAAGGGCAAUGGAUAUACCAUACACCCACCUAAAUGAGCAAAGGAAGAUUGAUGUAACAAUUAGCAGGGAGUUGCUAUAGGAUUCUAUGCAAUGAAGUGUUUCCACUACUUCAACAACAAAAUAAAUGAGGUGGGAACGAAGAUUGCUGCAUAAUUGAAAGAACAUAGGAAAUCUGAUUAUUCAGGAGCUGAAUAUGGUCAUUAAGUCUUCAUGCUCAACAAAAUCACCCCACACUGUAAACCGGAAUUUGUAUAUGAAGUUAGGUUUCAAAUAUGUUAAUGAGAUAUGAGUACAUGCUGUUUUGUGUAGUAUCCUGGUAUUUGUAGGUAUUUUUAAUGGCGAUUUUAUAUGGUUAAUUUUACUUAAAAAUACAGGAAUGGGUCGACUGUGUAGCAAAUGGAGAUGCUAGCAUGUUGAAAAUAAAAAUAGAUGCGACAGAAAAAUAGAUGCAAAACCAAAUGUUGAUAUA